GGUUGACCUCGAUCAGGUAGGGAUA
Molecule: ribosomal RNA, 25 nt
Filed under: fungal endophyte sp. AP447
Lineage: Eukaryota; Fungi
Description: partial 28S ribosomal RNA
Source: RNAcentral